CCUUAUCAAGAGAGGCGGAGGGACAGGCCCUGUGAUGCCCGGCAACCUGUGAUGUGUUCACCCUUGAGGCGAACGCCAGCAAGGUGCCAAUUCCUGCGGUGCAAACCGAAAGAUGAGG
Molecule: non-coding RNA, 118 nt
Filed under: uncultured Acutalibacter sp.
Lineage: Bacteria; Bacillati; Bacillota; Clostridia; Eubacteriales; Acutalibacteraceae
Description: SAM riboswitch (S box leader)
Rfam family: SAM riboswitch aptamer (S box leader)
About the family: The SAM riboswitch is found upstream of a number of genes which code for proteins involved in methionine or cysteine biosynthesis in Gram-positive bacteria. The SAM riboswitch acts at the level of transcription termination control.
Source: RNAcentral